CCUACGGGAGGCAGCAGUGGGGAAUAUUGGACAAUGGGGGGAACCCUGAUCCAGCCAUGCCGCGUGUGUGAAGAAGGCCCUCGGGUUGUAAAGCACUUUCAGUGAGGAAGAACGCCUGGUGGUUAAUACCCAUCAGCAAAGACAUCACUCACAGAAGAAGCACCGGCUAACUCCGUGCCAGCAGCCGCGGUAAUACGGAGGGUGCGAGCGUUAAUCGGAAUUACUGGGCGUAAAGCGCGCGUAGGUGGCUUGAUAAGCCGGUUGUGAAAGCCCCGGGCUCAACCUGGGAACGGCAUCCGGAACUGUCAAGCUAGAGUGCAGGAGAGGAAGGUAGAAUUCCCGGUGUAGCGGUGAAAUGCGUAGAGAUCGGGAGGAAUACCAGUGGCGAAGGCGGCCUUCUGGACUGACACUGACGCUGAGGUGCGAAAGCGUGGGUAGCAAACAGGAUUAGAUACCCUUGUAGUC
This 465-nucleotide ribosomal RNA is filed under the name Vreelandella stevensii. RNAcentral describes it as "partial 16S ribosomal RNA". It matches the Rfam family "Bacterial small subunit ribosomal RNA", at positions 338 to 795 of the family's 1533-position model. Lineage: Bacteria; Pseudomonadati; Pseudomonadota; Gammaproteobacteria; Oceanospirillales; Halomonadaceae. The record is from RNAcentral.